This 600-nucleotide small RNA is filed under the name Pongo abelii (Sumatran orangutan). RNAcentral's name for it is "sense intronic". The record is from RNAcentral. Lineage: Eukaryota; Metazoa; Chordata; Mammalia; Primates; Hominidae.
CCAGCUCUUAGUGACUCUAGCCCUCUCCCGCCCUCCUCUGCACCCUGCAUGCACUUGUGUUGCUGAAUGUGGCCGGAGAAAAACAGCAAUCUUGACUGUUCUGUGAGACUUCAUAAAGGAUUUCCAGGGCUGUGUGGAAUCAAAAAAUCUUCCUGCAUUUCCCCAGCCAUCUGGCCUCCAGGAUGACUAUUUCACAUCUCCUCAAGCCUUUGACAUCUCAUCCCCCUCACACUUGAUGCUUUUGCUUCCUAUUUCACUGGGAAAGUGAAGUAGAGACGGGUUUUCAUCAUGUUGGCCAGGCUGGUCUUGAGCUUCUGACCUCGUGAUCCACCUGCCUCAGCCUCCCAAAGUGCUGGGAUUACAGGCGUGAGCCACCGUGCCCAGCCAAAGAGCGUAGAACCAUGCCUGGCACACAGUGGGCAUCUAGACCCUUUGUUGAGUGGUGAAAUUGAAGUGUGACAGGGUGUGUGGCUUCCCUGCUCCGGCUCCCUCAGUUCCCAAAGCUGUGCUCCUUCCUGGAUCUCAUGUAGCAAAAGGAGGCAUCCGUGGGUCGUACCACAUGGCUUCUAGAGGAGUAUGUGUGAGUGUGUUCAGGCUCAU